Long non-coding RNA from Prionailurus viverrinus (fishing cat), 498 nucleotides. RefSeq lists it as uncharacterized. Lineage: Eukaryota; Metazoa; Chordata; Mammalia; Carnivora; Felidae. The transcript is spliced from 5 exons. The record is from RefSeq and is a predicted model, not a curated record.
CUCAUUUGUGGCUUUAAGUAGUGACCAAAUUGGCUAAAAGUCCCAAAGAUAAAACAUGUUUGACACGUUGCUUCAGGAGGAAGUUUGGAACACUUGGUGAACUUCUUGAGAAAUAAGUAAGUGGGCACCCACAAGAUACUACAAGCUAUUGGAGGCGUUCAGUAUAUCAAAUCAGAAAAUUGAGCAAAGUACUGAGGAUCACAGAGGACAGAUCAGUCAACUCUGCCUGUGAUAUUCAUAAACAAAGUCUUCAUAGAAGAGUCAUACACAUUCAGUGGAAGAAAGAUGUUUAAUCAACUGCACUCAGGAGACUCUCUUAAAGUUAACGGUCUGGUCUUGGAAGAAGGGAUAAACACCACCGUUAGAAGAAGUUGGAGCCUGCUGCCAGUGAUGUUUACAAAGCACGUUGGACUGGACGCGGGGGUAAAGCUACAUGGUGCUAGCCCACGAAGAUGUCAGCCUGAAGGUGAAGGGGGCCUGGAGUUUGCCCAGCUGAGA